Molecule: ribosomal RNA, 413 nt
Filed under: uncultured bacterium
Lineage: Bacteria
Description: bacterial SSU rRNA
Rfam family: Bacterial small subunit ribosomal RNA
Source: RNAcentral
UAUUGGUCAAUGGGCGCGAGCCUGAACCAGCCAAGUAGCGUGCAGGAUGACGGCCCUAUGGGUUGUAAACUUCUUUUAUAUGGGAAUAAAGUUUGGUAUGUAUACCAUUUUGUAUGUACCAUAUGAAUAAGGAUCGGCUAACUCCGUGCCAGCAGCCGCGGUAAUACGGGGGAUGCAAGCGUUAUCCGGAUUUAUUGGGUUUAAAGGGUGCGUAGGCGGGAUGCCAAGUCAGCGGUCAAAUACGGGGGCUCAACCUGCGUCCGCCGUUGAAACUGGCGUUCUUGAGUGGGCGAGAAGUACGCGGAAUGCGUGGUGUAGCGGUGAAAUGCAUAGAUAUCACGCAGAACCCCGAUUGCGAAGGCAGCGUACCGGCGCCCUACUGACGCUGAAGCACGAAAGCGUGGGUAUCGAAC